UUAUUUCAGAUCUAUUUUUCACUUCACACUCACAUAACCGCUUAAUCAGUAUCGCUCCAUCAAAAUCGCUUAAUCAAAAUCGCUUAUUCGUCAGAAUCAUUCCACCGCUUUCACCCUCACAUCUUCAUCAUAAACGUUUUUCAUUACCAUCGUACUUAUCAAAUUCUUCAUCACAAUUGAAUUCCAUUCAAAUGGCUUUGAGAUGGAAUUUGUAUCUCUAUUGAUUUCUCCACACGAAUUUGUGAAUCUCAAUCUCCUGUAUCCAUCUCUCGCGAAUCGUUCAUAUAUGUGAUUUCUCUGUCCACGACGCUCCGACUCUCCAGAGGAGUGUGAAAAGACGACUCGUGAAUAUGCUCGUCUUUAGAAUAAGAGUUUGUGGCUGCACUUCAGAGUGUUCUCGCUGCAAUCCCUAAAUUACAGAAGGUACAAUUUUGACCCAGACAACGGUCAUAUGGAGGUUUCUAUUUGUUUAGAACUGUGAUUUGGUGGUUGUUUUGUCGAAAGAAAUUAUCUAAGGAAUGAAAUUCAAUGGAAAGCGGCCGUAGGACUUUGCUGAUGUUGAAGCUACUUAGAGGGGCUUGGAUGAAGCUAUGUCGACGUAGAAAUUAUGGAUGGUCCAUGUUAGAUUGUGGUGGCAUUGACGAUGUUACCCUUAUAAUCCUGUGAUUCGAACCUUGAAGAUAUUGAGUUGAAUGAUUGUUAUUAUUAUUUACCUUUUUUCUUUCAAAUCUUUUUGUUAGCUACACAUGUUUGACAUGGCUUUGCUAGUGGCAGUCCAAAGAGAGAUCCAAAAGCCAUCAUAAUUGAUUAGUAUAAAAUGAUAUGAAGUGAGAAUUGUGGUGUUUAAGUUAGGCACCUAGACCGAACUUAACUUCAAGAUUUUUUGUUUGUUUUGUUGUGGAUGAUUGAAGUAACACAUUUUUAAUUGUGUUUAUAUUUUUUAUUUUCCCUUUUCAAUAAUAGUCUCACAACUAAAGUAUUGUAGUAUCUAACAAUCAAAUGUCUAAGCCACAACUAAAAAGUCUCACAACGGAAUAUAGUCUUUAUUCUUUAAUCUAUGUGUAUAUGAUAUGUUUCAGAUUUUCUUCAUUCUAGUUCUCUUUCUACGAUAAGGGUGUGCUUUGUAACUUUUUUAUAUGUUUGUAUUGAUUUAUAGUUUCUCGUGAAUCUGUGGUAUGUAGUUCUUUUUCCGUAUCUAUUUUGUCUUAUCUCUUUGUUUAGGGAUUUGAUUUUCUGAUUUAAUGCUAUGUUGAUUCUAUUUUGCGGUAUGCAGUUCCUUUUCCUUAUUAACUUGUCUUGCUGAUUUUGAGCUGUUUCACCAUCUUCUUCACUGAUAGAGCACAUAUUUGAUUCAUGGAGUUUCACUUCCUCGAUCGAUUCAACAUCAAUCGAAAAAUGAAAAUUGGAGCAGGUUUUGGGGGUCAAGUUAUUCUUCUGCUAACUCACACAAUUAAGCAUGAAAAGGCAAGU
Medicago truncatula (barrel medic) is the source of this 1470-nucleotide long non-coding RNA. RefSeq lists it as uncharacterized. The transcript is spliced from 5 exons. The record is from RefSeq and is a predicted model, not a curated record. NCBI's taxonomy places the organism in Eukaryota, Viridiplantae, Streptophyta, Magnoliopsida, Fabales, Fabaceae.